GCCUGGGUGGCUCAGUCGGUUAAGCAUAUGACUUCAGUUCAGGUCAUGAUCUCAUGGUUCGUGGGUUCAAGCCCCGCAUCAGGCU
Molecule: transfer RNA, 85 nt
Organism: Felis catus (domestic cat)
Lineage: Eukaryota; Metazoa; Chordata; Mammalia; Carnivora; Felidae
Rfam family: tRNA
About the family: Transfer RNA (tRNA) molecules are approximately 80 nucleotides in length. Their secondary structure includes four short double-helical elements and three loops (D, anti-codon, and T loops). Further hydrogen bonds mediate the characteristic L-shaped molecular structure. tRNAs have two regions of fundamental functional importance: the anti-codon, which is responsible for specific mRNA codon recognition, and the 3' end, to which the tRNAs corresponding amino acid is attached (by aminoacyl-tRNA synthetases). tRNAs cope with the degeneracy of the genetic code in two manners: having more than one tRNA (with a specific anti-codon) for a particular amino acid; and 'wobble' base-pairing, i.e. permitting non-standard base-pairing at the 3rd anti-codon position.
Source: Rfam